GACGUAGGGCGCGAGCGUUGUCCGGAUUUAUUGGGCGUAAAGAGCUCGUAGGCGGCUUGUCGCGUCGAAUGUGAAAUCUCGGGGCUCAACUCCGAGCUUGCAUUCGAUACGGGCAGACUUGAGUACUGCAGGGGAGACUGGAAUUCCUGGUGUAGCGGUGGAAUGCGCAGAUAUCGUGAGGAAGACCAGUGGCGAAGGCGGGUCUCUGGACAGUUCCUGACACUGAGGCACGAAGGCUAGGGGAGCAAACGGG
This 253-nucleotide ribosomal RNA is filed under the name uncultured bacterium. RNAcentral's name for it is "partial 16S ribosomal RNA". It matches the Rfam family "Bacterial small subunit ribosomal RNA", at positions 524 to 776 of the family's 1533-position model. The record is from RNAcentral.